UGUGCAAAGAAUAAAAAAACAAAUUUUAGCCUUUAAAUAAAUCAAAUAACAUCAGUUUCUUGGACUGAACAAUUUUCACUUCUAGGACAGGCACAAAGUUCGCUUAUGGCAAAAACAACCCCACAGCGCAUCCUCCCUCCUCCCUCCGGUAGCUGGUGGAGGGUUCGCAGCGGGCUGGCCCGCAGGAGAGGCUGUGCUGAAGCUGUGUCCUCCCCAAGUCAGUUGCAAAUGUCUUCCCCAGGGGUUGGAAAGAUGGUCAAGUCCUGUUCAUGCUUGGGCGGGAGUCUGGCCCAGCCUGGGCCAGAGCGCUCACCCAUCACCACCCUUAAAUAACACCAUCUUAGCUCCGAAAAUAAAAUUAUAUCUAUAUUUAUAUAACAUCCCCCCAUCCUCCCCAGCAGCCCUCCCCUCCCGCAGUACCCGGGGUCUAUGUUACAGACAAGGGAUAUCAAGCUCCCGCUGGUGAAGGGCGAACAUCUGAUGGGGCGCGGCCACACUCCCGCGCCAAUCUCGCCCCCGGGGAUCAGAGGCGGGGGUGGGGUGAAAAUGGGGCGAGGGGAGUCGAACAGACACACAGCCACACACUCUGAGGCCCGGCUCUUCAGAAAAGCAUGCUCAGGGGACCCUUGGCACUCAGUGGGGAGCCCAGGCCUGUGCAACACAGCUGGACGCACACAGACACUGGGAUGGGGGCGCCCGGUGCCCACGCCAAGUCCUGGCGCAAGCCAGAGGCGUCAGCAGACAGAUGCCAGGCAGGCCGGUGGGGUCCUUGUGGGACACGGGUCUCCCCUUCUCCGGGCUCGCGGGGGACUGGUCCAGGAGGGGGAGCCGUGCCGGCAGGGGCAGGCGCGACGGGCGCGGCCCUCAUAGCACCUUGCAGCAGUUGAUGCAGCCGUUCUGGGAGCCGUAGCGCUUCUGCAGCGCGGCGCGCGUGGCCGUCUCGAAGACCUCGCGCACGCCUUCCUUGGUCUUGGCAGAGCACUCGAGGUAGUCGUAGGCUUGGAUGCGCACGGCCAUGGCGCGGCCGUCAUCCGUGCGCACGGGUUCCUGCUUCAUGCGGAUGGCCGCCAUGAGCGGGCCGGGCCCGGGCAGCAGGAGGGGGCCCGCGAACGCCUCGCUGCCCUCCCGCUCGCCGCUCACUGCUCACCUCGGGCUGCGCGCAGGUGGCGAGAGGGUCGCUAGCUGCACCCGGGCCCCGCGGUGGCGCGUUCUCUCGCUGCGCUUCGGCUGCCGCGGCGGGGGCGGUGGGGGCGCGGGGGCAUAGGGCGCACCGUGCGUCUCGCCGCGCUGCUCCCGGGCGGUGGUCGCUCUGCUCACCCCAGGCCGGGGAUCGGCGGCUUUGUGCGUAACGCGGGCUCGGGCAGCAGACUCGGGCGGUGGACUCGGCCUAGCUCUCUCCCGGGUCUCUCCGGGCCUCGCUGAGCAUACAAGACAACAGCUCCAACCAGACUGCGGUGGCAGAU
Molecule: long non-coding RNA, 1463 nt
Filed under: Homo sapiens (human)
Lineage: Eukaryota; Metazoa; Chordata; Mammalia; Primates; Hominidae
Description: non-protein coding lnc-PUM2-1:1
Source: RNAcentral